Molecule: long non-coding RNA, 705 nt
Organism: Rana temporaria (common frog)
Lineage: Eukaryota; Metazoa; Chordata; Amphibia; Anura; Ranidae
Exons: 2
Source: RefSeq, a predicted model, not a curated record
UCCCAUUUGGUAUUUUUAUUUAUAUUUUCAAACUUUUCUGUGUUGGUCGUAACAUUUUAUUCAACAUAAUUUUCUAUUAGGAUGUUACAGUACUUACUGUAAGUAUAGUUUUUGUUCAGCAGUCUUGUACAGAGCAGAUAUUGUUUGAUAAUUAGUGGCUAAAUGUUUAAUAUUUUUGGAUGGCUUAGUGAGGAUCAUUAAUUUAUUCCUUGCAUCUCCUGGGUCCUUGGUUCAAAUCCUAACCAGGACACUAUCUGCCUGGAGUGUUUGUUCUCCCUGUAGUUGCAUGGGAUGGCUCUGAGUACGCAGGCCCAAUCCCACACGCCAAAGGUAAUCGUGGAUAUUUCAUUGUCACUUAUCUCAAUUGGCCAGAGACUGAUGUGAAUCUACAAUAUGUAAAUUGUUGCAUAUAUUGCCAACGCUUUAUAAAUACACGUAUAAGUGUAUCGCAGUUGUGCAUGCAAGUGGUUAUCAAAGCAUUAAAUUUACUGCAACUGUUCCUGCAUCACGUGACCGGUAAUGCCAAUGUGACUUCAGUUCAUCAAUAUGGCUCCUUCCAAACAUUUACACAUAUAGGAGGUAGUAAAGACCGCUUGGCUAACUCAAGGUGAUUAAAAUUGCUUACGUGCUUACACCUUGUGCUUAUGUCUAUUACUCCUUGAAAUUUAGAAGCAGGAAAUCAUUGCUCUGGAAACUGAUAGAACA